This is a non-coding RNA of Pelobates cultripes (western spadefoot toad), 226 nucleotides long. The record is from the annotation of a GenBank genome assembly. NCBI's taxonomy places the organism in Eukaryota, Metazoa, Chordata, Amphibia, Anura, Pelobatidae.
GUUUGAAAUUAGCAAACCUGGUGUCUAAAUAAUGAAAUAAGAUUGGAGGUGUGGGUUAAAGCUACUUUGACGUAUACAAAGCACUCAAACUUUUUGAGUUUGCUAUUCACAAAAAGCACCUGUUGAUGUGGACAAUGUCUUGCAAAAGAGAGUCCUCAGAUGUUCUGCAAUCAAGAAUGGUUAAGUUUUAUAAUGCUGGAAAAGGUUACAAUGUUAUCUCAACUAG